GAUGAACGCUGGCGGCGUGCCUAAUACAUGCAAGUCGAGCGAACAGACGAGGAGCUUGCUCCUUUGACGUUAGCGGCGGACGGGUGAGUAACACGUAGGUAACCUACCUAUAAGACUGGGAUAACUUCGGGAAACCGGAGCUAAUACCGGAUAAUAUUUCGAACCGCAUGGUUCGAUAGUGAAAGAUGGCUUUGCUAUCACUUAUAGCUGGACCUGCGCCGUAUUAGCUAGUUGGUAAGGUAACGGCUUACCAAGGCAACGAUACGUAGCCGACCUGAGAGGGUGAUCGGCCACACUGGAACUGAGACACGGUCCAGACUCCUACGGGAGGCAGCAGUAGGGAAUCUUCCGCAAUGGGCGAAAGCCUGACGGAGCAACGCCGCGUGAGUGAUGAAGGUCUUCGGAUCGUAAAACUCUGUUAUUAGGGAAGAACAAACGUGUAAGUAACUGUGCACGUCUUGACGGUACCUAAUCAGAAAGCCACGGCUAACUACGUG
This 497-nucleotide ribosomal RNA is filed under the name uncultured bacterium. Its description in RNAcentral is "partial 16S ribosomal RNA". It matches the Rfam family "Bacterial small subunit ribosomal RNA", at positions 28 to 507 of the family's 1533-position model. The record is from RNAcentral.